Molecule: small nucleolar RNA, 131 nt
Organism: Juglans regia (Persian walnut)
Lineage: Eukaryota; Viridiplantae; Streptophyta; Magnoliopsida; Fagales; Juglandaceae
Source: RefSeq, a predicted model, not a curated record
GAGCAAGAGCGUCUAUAAAAGAUGGCGCAAAUUGCAUUGAAGGUUGGCGAUAGAAAAUAAAAUCUGAGCGAUUCUCCGUGCCUAUCAAAUCUCUUUCGUUUUGAUUAUGGCCUCGAACAAGUCGCUACAUU